GGCCCAGUAGUGUAACGGCAAGCACAGGAGCGAAGGAGAGUUGAAAGCCUCCGUACCUCACAGCAGCGGUUCAACUCCGCUUCGGGUCA
This 89-nucleotide transfer RNA is filed under the name Bacteroides sp. RNAcentral describes it as "tRNA-OTHER". The record is from RNAcentral. Lineage: Bacteria; Pseudomonadati; Bacteroidota; Bacteroidia; Bacteroidales; Bacteroidaceae.